AGUGAACGCUGGCGGUAGGCCUAACACAUGCAAGUCGAACGGCAGCACAGUAAGAGCUUGCUCUUACGGGUGGCGAGUGGCGGACGGGUGAGGAAUACAUCGGAAUCUACUUUUUCGUGGGGGAUAACGUAGGGAAACUCACGCUAAUACCGCAUACGACCUACGGGUGAAAGCAGGGGAUCUUCGGACCUUGCGCGAUUGAAUGAGCCGAUGUCGGAUUAGCUAGUUGGCGGGGUAAAGGCCCACCAAGGCGACGAUCCGUAGCUGGUCUGAGAGGAUGAUCAGCCACACUGGAACUGAGACACGGUCCAGACUCCUACGGGAGGCAGCAGUGGGGAAUAUUGGACAAUGGGCGCAGGCCUGAUCCAGCCAUACCGCGUGGGUGAAGAAGGCCUUCGGGUUGUAAAGCCCUUUUGUUGGGAAAGAAAAGCAGCAGGUUAAUACCCCGCUGUUCUGACGGUACCCAAAGAAUAAGCACCGGCUAACUUCGUG
This 492-nucleotide ribosomal RNA is filed under the name uncultured bacterium. RNAcentral describes it as "partial 16S ribosomal RNA". It matches the Rfam family "Bacterial small subunit ribosomal RNA", at positions 29 to 507 of the family's 1533-position model. The record is from RNAcentral.